GACGAACGCUGGCGGCAUGCUUAACACAUGCCAGUCGAACGGAAACGCCCGGCUAUUGUGGGUGGCUCGAGUGGCAAGCGGGUGAGUAACACGUGAGUAACCUGCCCUGGACUUUGGGAUGACUUCAGGGAAACGCGGAUACUACCGGCUAGCAGCUCCUGCUACCUGGGGGGGGUUGGAACGUGCACGCGGGUGGGGGUGGACGCGCGGCUUAUCAGCUGGUUGGUGGGGUAGUGGCUUACCAAGGCUUUGACGGGUGGCCGGCCUGAGAGGGGGACCGGCCACAAUGGGCCUGAGAUACGGCCCAGACUGCUACGGGAGGCAGCAGUGGGGAAUCUGGCACAACGGGCGCAAGCCUGAGGCAGCAACGUCGGGUGCGGGAUGACGGCUUUCGGGGUGUAAACCGCUUUCGCCUGAGACGAAGCGUGAGUGACGGUAACGGGUGAAGAAGCACCGGCUAACUACGUG
This 468-nucleotide ribosomal RNA is filed under the name uncultured bacterium. RNAcentral's name for it is "partial 16S ribosomal RNA". It matches the Rfam family "Bacterial small subunit ribosomal RNA", at positions 28 to 507 of the family's 1533-position model. The record is from RNAcentral.